Molecule: unclassified non-coding RNA, 253 nt
Filed under: uncultured Chlamydiales bacterium
Lineage: Bacteria; Pseudomonadati; Chlamydiota; Chlamydiia; Chlamydiales
Description: contains 16S-23S intergenic spacer region
Rfam family: Bacterial small subunit ribosomal RNA
Source: RNAcentral
UACGGAGGGUGCAAGCGUUAAUCGGAAUUACUGGGCGUAAAGGGCGCGUAGGCGGCUAGAAAAGUCGGAUGUGAAAUUCCGGGGCUCAACCCCGGAGCUGCAUUCGAAACUCUCUAGCUAGAGUACAGUUAGGGUAAACGGAAUUCCACGUGUAGCGGUGAAAUGCGUAGAUAUGUGGAAGAACACCGGUGGUGAAGACGGUUUACUGGGCUGAAACUGACGCUGAGGCGCGAAAGCAUGGGGAGCAAACAGG